This 73-nucleotide transfer RNA is filed under the name Canis lupus familiaris (dog). It matches the Rfam family "tRNA". From Rfam's summary of the family: Transfer RNA (tRNA) molecules are approximately 80 nucleotides in length. RNAcentral also lists the same sequence under 1 other name. Lineage: Eukaryota; Metazoa; Chordata; Mammalia; Carnivora; Canidae. The record is from Rfam by way of RNAcentral.
ACCUGGUUGGCUCAGUCAGUAGAGCAUGGGACUCUUGAUCUCCAGGUCAUGAGUUCAAGCCCCAUGUUGGGCA